CAGGUUAUAGUUUAAUUAAAAUUUAGGCUUUGGGAGCCUUUGAUUCUAUUGUUAUAGAUGUCCUGA
RNAcentral lists this transfer RNA (66 nucleotides) under Scrobicularia plana. Its description in RNAcentral is "tRNA-Pro". The record is from RNAcentral. Lineage: Eukaryota; Metazoa; Mollusca; Bivalvia; Cardiida; Scrobiculariidae.